AGGGUCCCUUAAAAUAAUCUAGUGCUCCCUCACAUUGUGCCAGCACAUGGUCAUUGUUAUUUCAUAGUAGUGCUAUUCCAGUGAAUGGGUGAGUGCAGUGGUGUGGGAAGAGAAUGAGGGUUUGACCUUAUCCCAGAGGCUGUUCUACUGCAGCUCAUAGUGGACUUUCACAUAGAUGUCACCAUGCUAAAACAAAGCCUCAUGACCACCAUUUAUCUUACAUAAGACAAGUCUGCCAGAGGAUCUAGCAAUGGAUCUUCAUUGUCUGCCAAUGGCCCAUAUGUCAAAGGAUUGAUCUCUUGAAUGACUGUAUUGGAGCCUUUAAUAAGAAGUUUUUUUCCAUGUGUACAGGGGUAACACAUCGUACUAAAUAUAUUGUACCAAUACCCUCAAUAAAAAAGAAAAAAAAAAAGAAACAGGCCAGUGUCCAAAACGGGACCCACCAGGACGCACCCAUGACAGUAAACACGGAGGUGAAGAACUAAAGACCAUGCGUAACAGCAGCUGCUGGAGCCGACCUUGCCACCACUUGGAAAACAAGUGCCUGGUAAUGGCACAGAGGGAAAGCAAACAGAGUUGACAAAUACGGAGAGACAAGAUCCCCAUGAUUCUAAAUCUAGUGUUUUCCAGUUUGAGUUGCAUUCCUUUCAUUUGUAACUGGCAGCAUUUAAUAAUUAUUAGCUAUUAAUAUUUUGAUCCCCAAAUGUUCCCUCAAAUUUAGAUUGAGAAGAUAUCUACUUAAUAAUAGAUUCUUUGCUCCCAGUAGGAAUCAUCUUUUCAUCUUAUGUUUAGUGGCUAUACUGAUGUAUGUGCUUUAAAUGAGUGAAUAAAUUAUAAAAACACUCUAAAAACACCCUCAGGUCAAUUUGAUGAAUGGUGAUAAGCAAUGCGUUCUUUAAUUAGAUGAUUAAACUUAUAAAAAAAUCCUGAUAACCCCUUCAAGAUACAGCAUUGGUAAAGAAAUGACAACUUGUGAAAACAAUGAGUAGAAAAAGCUAAAUAGCUUCCCAGAAU
Molecule: long non-coding RNA, 1014 nt
Filed under: Fukomys damarensis (Damara mole-rat)
Lineage: Eukaryota; Metazoa; Chordata; Mammalia; Rodentia; Bathyergidae
Description: lncRNA (ENSFDAG00000022572.1)
Source: RNAcentral